This 253-nucleotide ribosomal RNA is filed under the name uncultured bacterium. RNAcentral's name for it is "partial 16S ribosomal RNA". It matches the Rfam family "Bacterial small subunit ribosomal RNA", at positions 524 to 776 of the family's 1533-position model. The record is from RNAcentral.
UACGUAGGUGGCAAGCGUUGUUCGGAAUUAUUGGGCGUAAAGAGCUUGUAGGCGGUUUGUCGCGUCUGCUGUGAAAAUCCGGGGCUCAACCCCGGACUUGCAGUGGGUACGGGCAGACUGGAGUGUGGUAGGGGAGACUGGAAUUCCUGGUGUAGCGGUGGAAUGCGCAGAUAUCAGGAGGAACACCGAUGGCGAAGGCAGGCCUCUGGGCCACUACUGGCGCUGAGAAGCGAAAGCAUGGGGAGCGAACAGG